UACGUAGGGGGCAAGCGUUGUCCGGAUUUAUUGGGCGUAAAGAGCGUGUAGGCGGCCAGACAGUCAGCUGUGAAAACUCGAGGCUCAACCUCGAGACGUCGGUUGAAACCGUCUGGCUAGAGUCCGGAAGAGGAGAGUGGAAUUCCCGGUGUAGCGGUGAAAUGCGCAGAUAUCGGGAAGAACACCCGUGGCGAAGGCGGCUCUCUGGGACGGUACUGACGCUGAGACGCGAAAGCGUGGGGAGCGAACAGG
Molecule: ribosomal RNA, 252 nt
Filed under: uncultured bacterium
Lineage: Bacteria
Description: partial 16S ribosomal RNA
Rfam family: Bacterial small subunit ribosomal RNA
Source: RNAcentral